Molecule: long non-coding RNA, 1385 nt
Organism: Brienomyrus brachyistius
Lineage: Eukaryota; Metazoa; Chordata; Actinopteri; Osteoglossiformes; Mormyridae
Exons: 3
Source: RefSeq, a predicted model, not a curated record
AUAUUUACAUGUGUUUACAUUAAGGUUCAGUAUGUUUCCUUGGUUAACUGUAUUAUUAGUUCCUAUCUGCCCUGGUACACAGGGGGACAGUUUAAUGCGAAGCGCGGGAAGGGAGUUUGGAGCGCGGCUGGAGAAAGUUGUAAGUUUACAGUGUGGAAUACUCAGUCCAGCAGAGAGCAGCUUCACUCCUGAAUCCUGUAGGUCAUUGUCACUCAGGUCCAGCUCUCUCAGAUGUGAGUGGUUUGAUCUGAGAGCUGAAGCCAGCGCCUCACAGCAUUCCUCUGUGAGUUCACACCGGUUCACCUUUAGGAAAAUGAAAGACUUUUAAGAUUCAAGAUUAUUUAUUUGUCACAUGCAUAGUUAUACAGGUACAACAUGCAGUGAAAUGUAUCCUGAACUGCUCUUUUGACUGUGCAACAUUAGAAUAAUUUAAUAAUUAAAAACCACUUUUUGCAUUGGUGCACUGUAUAUUAUAUCACAGUGAGCCAUUACAUUCAUCACAGAAGAGAUUCUUUUAAACAAUGAAUUUAUUGUACAGCUUUUAAGAAGCACAUUAACACUCAUCUCACUUUUGACUGGAACAUUGUAUUUUGUUAAACUCAGCUUGUUAAAUUUAAACUUGUUAAAUUUAAAAUUGCAACAGAUCCAUCACUUUUCUUUGUCUAUUAGCUGCUAACCAACACAGUGCUAACCAUGACAGUUUGGUGUAAGAUCAGCGGGUAAUGCUUGAGGGAGGUUAUCCAUGACAGUAUGGUAUUGGGUCAGUGGGUAACAUUUGAGUGAGGUUAUUCAUGACAGUAUGGUAUUGGAUCAGUGGGUAACAUUUGAGUGAGGUUAUCCAUGUCAGUAUGGUAGUAGAUCAGUGGGUAAUACUUGAGGGAGGUUAUCCUUGAUAGUGUGGUAUUGGAUCAGUGGGUAACAUUUGAGUGAGGUUAUCCAUGACAGUAUGGUAUUGGAUCAGUGGGUAACAUUUGAGUGAGGUUAUCCAUGUCAGUAUGGUAGUAGAUCAGUGGGUAAUACUUGAGGGAGGUUAUCCUUGAUAGUGUGGUAUUGGAUCAGUGGGUAACAUUUGAGUGAGGUUGUCCAUGACAGUAUGGUAUUGGAUCAGUGGGUAACAUUUGAGUGAGGUUGUCCUUGUCAGUAUGGUAUUAGAUCAGUAGGUAACGCUUGAGGGAGGUCAGCCAGGACAGUAUGUUGGUAGAUCGGGGGUGACGUUUGGGCCCUUCCAUGUAUUGACACUGUUGUGCUGGAAGGGGUCGUGUUCCUCUGUGAGUUUAGCAGCUAUGUUGUCGGGGAGCUGCCCCUGUUUGGGUCUCCCAAGGCAAAUUGUUCCUGGGUGAGCAGCCAGACAAAGUGUGAGUCACUAACACUAAGGAUCAUGUGAC